AAUUAUUGGAUACCUCAUUUGUAUCUGAUUGCAUAAGGAUGAAGAAAGUAUCAUCAGCACCAUCAUAUGAACCAGAAAGUGCAGAAGAUACCAAUGGAGAACCAAAGAAAUUUGAGUUGGGAAUUGAGCAUUGGUCUAUAACAAUAAAGAAUCACAUACCUCUGAUAAUGUGGCAUUCUUCUGCCAUGGUGAGAACUGCAUCUCUGACUUGUUUCGCGGGCAUUACUUCUUCUGUAUUCAUCUCUCUCUCAAAGGAGAAACAGGAGUUUGUUGUUUCUUCUUUGAUCAAUGCUGCUGUAGAUGAUGAGGUUCCUUCAGUUAGGUCAGCUGCUUGUCGAGCUAUUGGUGUCAUCUCUUGUUUUCCACAAAUAUCUCACAGCGCAGAGAUUCUUGCCAAGUUUAUCCACGCG
This 410-nucleotide unclassified non-coding RNA is filed under the name Hevea brasiliensis (rubber tree). The record is from RNAcentral. Lineage: Eukaryota; Viridiplantae; Streptophyta; Magnoliopsida; Malpighiales; Euphorbiaceae.